GAUGAACGCUGGCGGCGUGCCUAAUACAUGCAAGUCGAGCGAACGGACGAGAAGCUUGCUUCUCUGAUGUUAGCGGCGGACGGGUGAGUAACACGUGGAUAACCUACCUAUAAGACUGGGAUAACUUCGGGAAACCGGAGCUAAUACCGGAUGAUAUUUUGAACCGCAUGGUUCAACAGUGAAAGACGGUCUUGCUGUCACUUAUAGAUGGAUCCGCGCUGCAUUAGCUAGUUGGUAAGGUAACGGCUUACCAAGGCAACGAUGCAUAGCCGACCUGAGAGGGUGAUCGGCCACACUGGAACUGAGACACGGUCCAGACUCCUACGGGAGGCAGCAGUAGGGAAUCUUACGCAAUGGGCGAAAGCCUGACGGAGCAACGCCGCGUGAGUGAUGAAGGUCUUCGGAUCGUAAAACUCUGUUAUUAGGGAAGAACAUAUGUGUAAGAAACUGUGCACAUCUUGACGGUACCUAAUCAGAAAGCCACGGCUAACUACGUG
This 497-nucleotide ribosomal RNA is filed under the name uncultured bacterium. RNAcentral's name for it is "partial 16S ribosomal RNA". It matches the Rfam family "Bacterial small subunit ribosomal RNA", at positions 28 to 507 of the family's 1533-position model. The record is from RNAcentral.